CAUUUGAAAAUGUUGCCCUACAUUUGUCCUACAUUUGUCCCAGUUUGGAGGUCCUCACUUAUGGCAACCCUAUCUGCGGGUGACCCUCCCUCCUUCCGGGUUGUUUACCAGAAAACCUGCUUCUUUCCUCAGGUGAAGGCGCUCAAAGGGAUCAGGGCCAUUGUAGCGGACCUCAGCGAUAUCAAGGACCUGAAGUACUGGCUGCAGUAUCACUUGGUGACCCAGGCCAGCGUCUUGGUCAGCCAGUUCCAACCCAAGGAGCAGGGGAGCAGCGUGAAGCUCAAAAAAUACAUUGUCCCAGGGGAAUCAAUUGAUAUCUUGGCAAUCCUCCUCCAGAGGCUAGACCUAAUGCACAACAUGAAGUCCACGCUCAUCUCCAUGUGAAUGUGAACUGAAUGACCGUGGCUGCACCCAAAAAGACCUCCAUUCCCAGCCUCCGGCCGAGGCCUGAGGAGUCCCAGAAGACUUCCCUGAGGACUCCCUGCUGCUCUGGGCGAAGGCAAGGAUGCCAUCGUGCGGCCUUCCCACGCUGCUGCCACUCAGACGCUGGGUGCGGACAUUUCCCCAUUUGGGGCGGGACAAUCCCAGUUUCCCCCAGGGUUAAAAUGUCCCAUCCACAUCGAGCCGCCUGUCCCAGGUUCUAGUGGCAGUGAGUGCUAGCAGCCAAAGCCCUGUCUGGAUGGAGCUCUGAGGCUUCAACUCCCAGAGUCCAGCCGGGUGCUUUGAGCGCUGCCUGGGAUCAAAUCCUUACUCUGCCAUGGAAGCCAGAGGGAGGAAGGAAGAGAGGACUACAUCUCCCAGUAGCCCCUGCCCACCAUCCCCUUCCUGGCACUGCUGGUCAGUCAGCCAGGCUCCCCAAAGCACUUCCUUCCUCCCCUUCCUUUCCUUUCCCUCUUUCCCUCUUUCCUCCUUUCCUUUCCAUUCCCUCUUUCCUCCCUUCCUUUCC
Long non-coding RNA from Sceloporus undulatus (fence lizard), 946 nucleotides. RefSeq lists it as uncharacterized. The record is from RefSeq and is a predicted model, not a curated record. Lineage: Eukaryota; Metazoa; Chordata; Lepidosauria; Squamata; Phrynosomatidae. The transcript is spliced from 3 exons.